RNAcentral lists this ribosomal RNA (434 nucleotides) under uncultured Clostridium sp. Its description in RNAcentral is "partial 16S ribosomal RNA". It matches the Rfam family "Bacterial small subunit ribosomal RNA", at positions 341 to 792 of the family's 1533-position model. The record is from RNAcentral. Lineage: Bacteria; Bacillati; Bacillota; Clostridia; Eubacteriales; Clostridiaceae.
ACGGAAGGCAGCAGUGGGGAAUAUUGCACAAUGGGGGAAACCCUGAUGCAGCGACGCCGCGUGAGUGAAGAAGUAUUUCGGUAUGUAAAGCUCUAUCAGCAGGGAAGAAAAUGACGGUACCUGACUAAGAAGCCCCGGCUAACUACGUGCCAGCAGCCGCGGUAAUACGUAGGGGGCAAGCGUUAUCCGGAUUUACUGGGUGUAAAGGGAGCGUAGACGGCUGUGCAAGUCUGAAGUGAAAUCCGCGGGCUCAACCCGCGAACUGCUUUGGAAACUGUAUAGCUUGAGUGUCGGAGAGGUAAGUGGAAUUCCUAGUGUAGCGGUGAAAUGCGUAGAUAUUAGGAGGAACACCAGUGGCGAAGGCGGCUUACUGGACGAUAACUGACGUUGAGGCUCGAAAGCGUGGGGAGCAAACAGGAUUAGAUACCCUGGUA